RNAcentral lists this ribosomal RNA (253 nucleotides) under uncultured bacterium. Its description in RNAcentral is "partial 16S ribosomal RNA". It matches the Rfam family "Bacterial small subunit ribosomal RNA", at positions 524 to 776 of the family's 1533-position model. The record is from RNAcentral.
UACGUAGGGGGCAAGCGUUGUCCGGAUUUAUUGGGCGUAAAGAGCGUGUAGGCGGUCAGGUAGGUCGGUUGUGAAAACUGGAGGCUCAACCUUCAGAGGUCGACCGAAACCCCCCGGCUAGAGUCCGGGAGAGGAGAGUGGAAUUCCUGGUGUAGCGGUGAAAUGCGCAGAUAUCAGGAAGAACACCCGUGGCGAAAGCGGCUCUCUGGAACGGUACUGACGCUGAGGAGCGAAAGCAUGGGGAGCGAACAGG